RNAcentral lists this transfer RNA (71 nucleotides) under Camelus bactrianus (Bactrian camel). It matches the Rfam family "tRNA". Rfam says of the family: Transfer RNA (tRNA) molecules are approximately 80 nucleotides in length. Their secondary structure includes four short double-helical elements and three loops (D, anti-codon, and T loops). RNAcentral also lists the same sequence under 2 other names. The record is from Rfam by way of RNAcentral. Lineage: Eukaryota; Metazoa; Chordata; Mammalia; Artiodactyla; Camelidae.
GGGAGUAGCACAAGAGGUAGAGCACAUGCUUAGCAUGCAUGAGGUCCUGGGUUCAAUCCCCAGUACUUCUG